CCUACGGGAGGCAGCAGUGGGGAAUAUUGCACAAUGGGGGGAACCCUGAUGCAGCAACGCCGCGUGGGUGAAGAAGUACUUCGGUAUGUAAAGCCCUGUCAGCAGGGAAGAAAAUGACGGUACCUGACCAAGAAGCCCCGGCUAACUACGUGCCAGCAGCCGCGGUAAUACGUAGGGGGCCAGCGUUAUCCGGAUUUACUGGGUGUAAAGGGAGCGUAGACGGCAAGGCAAGUCUGGAGUGAAAGCCCGUGGCUCAACCACGGGACUGCUGUGGAAACUGUGUUGCUGGAGUGCAGGAGGGGUAAGCGGAAUUCCUGGGGUAGCGGUGAAAUGCGUAGAUAUUAGGAGGAACACCGGUGGCGAAGGCGGCUUACUGGACUGUAACUGACGUUGAGGCUCGAAGCCGUGGGGAGCAAACAGGAUUAGAUACCCGAGUAGUC
RNAcentral lists this ribosomal RNA (440 nucleotides) under uncultured bacterium. Its description in RNAcentral is "partial 16S ribosomal RNA". It matches the Rfam family "Bacterial small subunit ribosomal RNA", at positions 338 to 795 of the family's 1533-position model. The record is from RNAcentral.